RNAcentral lists this ribosomal RNA (253 nucleotides) under uncultured bacterium. Its description in RNAcentral is "partial 16S ribosomal RNA". It matches the Rfam family "Bacterial small subunit ribosomal RNA", at positions 524 to 776 of the family's 1533-position model. The record is from RNAcentral.
UACGAAGGGGGCUAGCGUUGCUCGGAAUUACUGGGCGUAAAGGGCGCGUAGGUGGACAGUUUAGUCAGAGGUGAAAGCCCAGGGCUCAACCUUGGAAUUGCCUUUGAUACUGGCUGUCUUGAGUACGGAAGAGGUAUGUGGAACUCCGAGUGUAGAGGUGAAAUUCGUAGAUAUUCGGAAGAACACCAGUGGCGAAGGCGACAUACUGGUCCGUUACUGACGCUGAGGUGCGAAAGCGUGGGGAGCGAACAGG